CAGAGACUUUUUUACUGAUUGUAGAUGCAGAUCAAUAUUUUCAGAAAAUGUCAGCGACUUCAGGACGGAUGGGAAAUAAAGGAUGUUCAGAAUAUUUUCACUUUGCUGAACCAAAAAUAUCACGUCUUUGAGAGGUAAAUAUUUCAGUCUAAACACAGCAAGGCUUCAGAAAAGUGAAGAUAAACCAGAAAAUUCAGAUUUUCACACAAAGAUUCAAAAACAAAAUUCAAAGUAACAGAGCUGGACUUUCAUCAGAGUCAGAAACUAAACUCUGAGUUUUUUCUAGUCCCUGAUCUUGUCCUGAACAAAAGUUUGAAUGGUUCUCGUCUGACAAAUCUCCCCCUGCUUCUGUUUUCUGUCUGAAUGUUCUUCUCACUGUGAACUCUACAAAGAGUUUUCUUCUUGGGUUCAGGUUUUAAUUCACUGGAGCUCAGCAGUGACCUAACUGGAGUCAAUCAAAUAAUCCACUGAUGCAGAAAAUCUACUCUGGACUGAAGGUGUUCAGUCUGGGUCAGUGUUUCAGUGCUGAGUCAGCAGUUUAGUGUCAUCAUCACAAACAAAUCAUGAUCAUGUUUGAAUGGAGGAGAAAAGUCUGACCUCAGAGUCUCCAGUUUACAGUUUGGACUCUGCAGAAAGUCACACAGCAGCUUCACUCCUGAAUCCUGCAGAUCGUUGUUACUCAGGUCCAGAUUACUCAGAUGGGAGGGGUUGGACUUCAGAGCUGAGGCCAGAGAAGAACAGCUGAUCUCUGACAAACUGCAGCCAAACAACCUAAAUAAAGAGGAAAUAAUGAGAUUUUAGACAAACAUGAUCCAGUUUGAAAUUUGAUGUUUUUUUUAAAGGGGACCUGCCAUCAAAACUUCAUUCCCAUUUUUAUCAUUUUUACAUAAUCCUUGAUGUCCUCUGAUCAUGUCUGCAACAUAAUUUUAGCUGAAAAGUUGUUUGAUGGUUUGUUUCAAACCAUUUUAGUAUGCCUUAAAAAACCUUACAGGACAACUAACUGCCUUUGGCUCAUUAACAUUUAUGUUAAUGAGCUUUGCUCUGAUUGGAUCGCUGCUGUGAAACCUGUUGUGCCCUGAUUGGCUCAGCAGUGGAGGUUCUGAUGCCGGUUUUGCUGAUGUGUGCUAAAGGCUAAAAAUGGCAGGUAUUAAACCAUAUAUUUUUGACCCUGAGUCCGAGUCCGAAGAGGAGGUGGAAGUUGAAGAAGAAGCCGGAGAUCUCCAGCCGUGUUUUCUCCUUCAUUCUGUCCAGCUUUAAGUUCAUGUUCCCCGCAGUGAACCCAAGGAAACACCGGUCCUUUGGAAGAGACCCAUAGUGGAUACAGUGGUAGCUGCGUCUCGCUCUGGCUGGAGAGUUAUGAUGACUGUGACUGGGUACGAGAACGAGAGGAGUGGCCUCGCAAAAAACCAAACCGAAAUAACUUCGGAGUAUGAAUCAGCCCUAUCAGCAAUCACCCCCACAACCCACCGGGCCGAUUAAACGCAGCUACAUCCCCCACGCUGACCGCGGACGUCCUGGGCACGGCUCACAGAGGACGCGCUCGUGACUAAUAAUGAGCAAAGUCAGCUUGAUGUCAGAAUGACCUGCUUUUUCAACUGGCCUGGUUUACCCAUUUCUUUAUUUUAAACCUUUACAGAAUGAAAACGACGUAACGGUUUAUUUUCACAUUUACAACACAAGACGAACAUAAUAUGGACCUUAUCUGACACAAAAACACACAAAAUUACAUUUUUGAUGGCAGGUCCCCUUUAAAUCUGGAAAGUCUGAAUCACAGAAAAGUGACGCUCCAAAGAGCUGAACCAAACAGGAAGUCAGUUUGAAACAGUGAAUUCAAAAACACAUUAAAUAGUGAAAUAAAAAACUCAGAGACUUUUUUACUGAUUGUAGAUGCAGAUCAAUAUUUUCAGAAAAUGUCAGCGACUUCAGGACGGAUGGGAAAUAAAGGAUGUUCAGAAUAUUUUCACUUUGCUGAACCAAAAAUAUCACGUCUUUGAGAGGUAAAUAUUUCAGUCUAAACACAGCAAGGCUUCAGAAACGUGCAGAUAAACCAGAAAAUUCAGAUUUUCACACAAAGAUUCAGAAACAAAAUUCAAAGUAACAGAGCUGGACUUUCAUCAGAGUCAGAAACUAAACUCUGAGUUUUUUCUAGUCCCUGAUCUUGUCCUGAACUAAAGUUUGAAUGGUUCUCGUCUGACAAAUCUCCCCCUGCUUCUGUUUUCUGUCUGAAUGUGCUUCUCACUGUGAACUCUACAAAGAGUUUUCUUCUUGGGUUCAGGUUUUAAUUCACUGGAGCUCAGCAGUGAUCGAACUGGAG
Xyrichtys novacula (pearly razorfish) is the source of this 2314-nucleotide non-coding RNA. Lineage: Eukaryota; Metazoa; Chordata; Actinopteri; Labriformes; Labridae. The record is from the annotation of a GenBank genome assembly.